RNAcentral lists this ribosomal RNA (389 nucleotides) under uncultured bacterium. RNAcentral describes it as "bacterial SSU rRNA". It matches the Rfam family "Bacterial small subunit ribosomal RNA", at positions 28 to 417 of the family's 1533-position model. The record is from RNAcentral.
GACGAACGCUGGCGGCGUGCUUAACACAUGCAAGUCGAGCGGUAAGGCCCUUUCGGGGGUACACGAGCGGCGAACGGGUGAGUAACACGUGGGUGACCUGCCCUCAGCUCUGGGAUAAGCCUGGGAAACUGGGUCUAAUACUGGAUAUGACUCCACGGUGCAUGUCGUGGGGUGGAAAGCCUUGUGCGGCUGAGGAUGGGCCCGCGGCCUAUCAGCUUGUUGGUGGGGUGANGGCCUACCAAGGCGACGACGGGUAGCCGGCCUGAGAGGGCGACCGGCCACACUGGGACUGAGACACGGCCCAGACUCCUACGGGAGGCAGCAGUGGGGAAUCUUAGCGCAAUGGGCGAAAGCCUGACGCAGCGACGCCGCGUGAGGGAUGACGGCCU